CCUGUAUAAGAAAUACUUGAAUAAAAUAAAGAAAAGGAGUUAAAACAUUACAACAUUACUGCUAUCAUACAUUUCCGGUGCAUAUUAACCAACCCAAAGUUACUCAAUUCAAACCAAAUUAAAAACCUAUGAAAAUUAAAAAAUUAAAAACCAGGAAUAAAUGAACCCUAUACGUGAAUAUAAGUACAAAACUAUAUACCAGUAUACGACGUUGAUCUUGUGGAAUGCUUAAAAAAAAUCUGAAUAAAGAAGAAAAAAAAGAGAAAUAAGGUUAACAAAAAUUCAAGAAAAUGAUAUAAAAAAAUCUAUACAUAAAUCAAAGAAUCCUAAAAUUGCUUUGAUUAGGAGAAAUGCUAUAAAAAAAUCUGAAUAAAGCAAAAAAAAAGAGAAAUGAAGUUAACAAAAAUUAAACAAUCUUUUCAAGAAAAUGAUAAAUAAAAAAAUCUAUGCCAAUCAUUCUAAAAAAUAUAUACGCAAACAUCAAAAAGAUCAUAAUAAAAUAACAGCCAGAAAGUCAGUUUUCAAAAACCUGAGGGAAAAGAUAGAAAGUGUGGCUAUGGACGAUGAAUCUGCGCGUUGUGCGGUGAUUCUUAGAUUACGCAAUUUUGGACGUUGUUGCCGAUUUCGUGAGAAUAUCGAGUAUGAUACCGGUUUCGAACGGAAUCCAAGAUAACGACGCCGAUAGAUGAAAAAACUGAGAGUAAGUUAGGGUUUUGAACCAGAACAAGACAAAGAUGCCGAUCGAUGAAAAAGCGCGAUGAUGCGGUGAUUCUUAGAUUACGCAAUCUUGGAUCAGAUUCACGCGUCGAUUUUGGACGAUCCGAUGAGAAAAUUGAAUAAGAUAGGGCUCCAAAUCCAAGAUAGCGCUGUCGAUCGAUGAAUAAGCUGAGAUGAAAAGCGUGGCGAUACGAUGGUUCUACGAUCAAGCAGUGGCGGCGCAGUCUGGUCACGGCUUAUACUCAAAUCAACGUAAUGGUUACGGCGAUUUGGUGAGAGCGAAACAGAAAAUCAGGGGUUUUGAUAAAG
Molecule: long non-coding RNA, 1026 nt
Filed under: Lathyrus oleraceus (garden pea)
Lineage: Eukaryota; Viridiplantae; Streptophyta; Magnoliopsida; Fabales; Fabaceae
Description: Pisum sativum (pea) long non-coding RNA (PSAT_LNC020295)
Source: RNAcentral